GAUGAAGAACGUAGCGAAAUGCGAUACGUAAUGUGAAUUGCAGAAUUCAGUGAAUCAUCGAAUCUUUGAACGCAUAUUGCGCUCUCUGGUAUUCCGGAGAGCAUGCUUGUUUGAGUAUCAGUAAACACCUCAACUUCCAUAUCUUUUUUGAAAUGGGAGUUGGACUUGAGUGAUCCCAACGCUUUUCCUCACCGAAAAGUGGCGGGUUACUUGAAAUGCAGGUGCAGCUGGACUUUUCUCUGAGCUAUAAGCAUAUCUAUUUAGUCUGCCUAAAAAACAGAUUAUUACCUUUGCUGCAGCUAACAUAAAGGAGAUUAGUUCUUGUGCUGACUGAUGCAGGAUUCACAAUGACAGGCUUCGGCCGACUUUGUAAACUCGAUCUCAAAUCAAGUAAGACUACCCGCUGAACUUAAGCAUAUCAAUAAGCGGAGGA
This 433-nucleotide unclassified non-coding RNA is filed under the name soil metagenome. RNAcentral describes it as "partial contains 5.8S ribosomal RNA, internal transcribed spacer 2, and large subunit ribosomal RNA". The stretch from base 1 to 120 matches the Rfam family "5.8S ribosomal RNA", at positions 35 to 154 of the family's 154-position model. The record is from RNAcentral.